RNAcentral lists this ribosomal RNA (450 nucleotides) under uncultured Glomus. Its description in RNAcentral is "SSU rRNA". It matches the Rfam family "Eukaryotic small subunit ribosomal RNA", at positions 569 to 1024 of the family's 1831-position model. The record is from RNAcentral. Lineage: Eukaryota; Fungi; Glomeromycota; Glomeromycetes; Glomerales; Glomeraceae.
AGCAGCCGCGGUAAUUCCAGCUCCAAUAGCGUAUAUUAAAGUUGCUGCAGUUAAAAAGCUCGUAGUUGAAUUUCGGGAUCGAUAUAUCGGUCGUGCCUCGGUACGUACUGGUAUUUUCGGUUUCUCCCUUCUGACGAACCUUGAUGUCAUUAAUUUGGUGUCUUGGGGAAUCAGGACUGUUACUUUGAAAAAUUAGAGUGUUUAAAGCAGGCUCACGCUUGAAUACAUUAGCAUGGAAUAAUGAAAUAGGACGUUUGAUUCUAUUUUGUUGGUUUCUAGGAUUGACGUAAUGAUUAAUAGGGAUAGUUGGGGGCAUUAGUAUUCAAUUGUCAGAGGUGAAAUUCUUGGAUUUAUUGAAGACUAACUACUGCGAAAGCAUUUGCCAAGGAUGUUUUCAUUAAUCUAAGAACGAAAGUUAGGGGAUCGAAGACGAUCAGAUACCGUCGUAGU